RNAcentral lists this unclassified non-coding RNA (804 nucleotides) under Hevea brasiliensis (rubber tree). The record is from RNAcentral. Lineage: Eukaryota; Viridiplantae; Streptophyta; Magnoliopsida; Malpighiales; Euphorbiaceae.
CAGGUGCUGACCUCAUAGCAUUUGAAACAGUUCCAAAUAAGGUAGAAGCUCAGGUUUAUGCUGAGCUCUUAGAGGAAGAAAACAUAAAGAUUCCUGCAUGGUUCUCCUUUAACUCAAAGGAUGGUAUCAAUGUAGUUAGUGGUGAUUCUUUGGUUGAAUGUGCCUCAAUCGCUGAAUCAUGUGGGAAAGUAGUUGCUGUGGGAAUCAACUGCACACCUCCUAGGUUUAUCCAUGGACUGAUAUUAUCUGUCAAGAAGGUGACCUCCAAACCAAUACUUAUGUAUCCAAACAGUGGGGAGAGCUAUGAUGCUGAUCUAAAAGAGUGGGUGCAAAAUACUGGUGUAUCAGAUGAAGAUUUUGUGUCAUGUAUAAACAAAUGGUGUGAGGUUGGGGCUUCCCUUGUUGGUGGCUGCUGUAGAACAACUCCAAACACUAUCAAAGCUAUAUACAGGACUCUCUCCGAUAGAUCUCCUGCUCUGCCAUUGUGGCGACCUCAGUGAUUUCACAUGGAAGGAGCAGAACAGUUACAAAUCUGAUUAGGCUGUUUAAUGGGCUUGCAUGGUCUUGAUAUUUUUGCCAUCGUUUGUGAUAUGGAGAGAGGGAUCUGGCAGCCUACACUCAAGAAAAGGGUUGAAAUUUUUGUUCUAGCAGAAGAGAUGUCUUACAUGAGCUACUUAGAGGGAAUAUCACUAGGUGUGAGAAUCACGAAUAUGCUGGCAAUAUUAGGAGUAAGGAUUGACAGCGUUUGUUUCUGUUUAUGGCCUUUUGUACUGGAAGGUUGUAUUGCUACUUAAACAAAGUUCC